CAUGGCUCAGGAUGAACGCUAGCGAUAGGCUUAACACAUGCAAGUCGAGGGGCAGCAUGGUCUUAGCUUGCUAAGACUGAUGGCGACCGGCGCACGGGUGCGUAACGCGUAUGCAACUUGCCUCACAGAGGGGGAUAACCCGUCGAAAGACGGACUAAUACCGCGUACACUCUAUGUUGGGCAUCCAAUGUAGAGGAAAUGAAAUUCGCUGUGAGAUAGGCAUGCGUCCCAUUAGCUAGUUGGUGAGGUAACGGCUCACCAAGGCGACGAUGGGUAGGGGAACUGAGAGGUUGAACCCCCACACUGGUACUGAGACACGGACCAGACUCCUACGG
RNAcentral lists this ribosomal RNA (335 nucleotides) under uncultured bacterium. RNAcentral describes it as "bacterial SSU rRNA". It matches the Rfam family "Bacterial small subunit ribosomal RNA", at positions 18 to 344 of the family's 1533-position model. The record is from RNAcentral.